AACGAACGCUGGCGGCAUGCCUAACACAUGCAAGUCGAACGAGACCUUCGGGUCUAGUGGCGCACGGGUGCGUAACGCGUGGGAAUCUACCCUCAGGUUCGGAAUAACUCAGAGAAAUUUGAGCUAAUACCGGAUGAUGACGUAAGUCCAAAGAUUUAUCGCCUGAGGAUGAGCCCGCGUAGGAUUAGGUAGUUGGUGAGGUAAAGGCUCACCAAGCCGACGAUCCUUAGCUGGUCUGAGAGGAUGAUCAGCCACACUGGGACUGAGACACGGCCCAGACUCCUACGGGAGGCAGCAGUGGGGAAUAUUGGACAAUGGGCGAAAGCCUGAUCCAGCAAUGCCGGGUGAGUGAUGAAGGCCUUAGGGUUGUAAAGCUCUUUUACCCGGGAUGAUAAUGACAGUACCGGGAGAAUAAGCUCCGGCUAACUCCGUG
This 433-nucleotide ribosomal RNA is filed under the name uncultured bacterium. RNAcentral describes it as "partial 16S ribosomal RNA". It matches the Rfam family "Bacterial small subunit ribosomal RNA", at positions 29 to 507 of the family's 1533-position model. The record is from RNAcentral.